CCUACGGGCGGCAGCAGUGGGGAAUUUUUGGCAAUGGGCGCAAGCCUGACCCAGCAACGCCGCGUGAAGGAAGAAGGCUUUCGGGUUGUAAACUUCUUUUCUGAGGGACGAAGAAAGUGACGGUACCUCAGGAAUAAGCCACGGCUAACUACGUGCCAGCAGCCGCGGUAAUACGUAGGUGGCAAGCGUUAUUCGGAUUUAUUGGGGGGAAAGGGCGUGUAGGCGGGAAAGCAAGUCAGAUGUGAAAACUCAGGGCUCAACCCUGAGCCUGCAUUUGAAACUGUUUUUCUUGAGUGCUGGAGAGGCAAUCGGAAUUCCGGGUGUAGCAGUGAAAUGCGUAGAUAUACGGAGGAACACCAGUGGCGAAGGCGGAUUGCUGGACAGUAACUGACGCUGAGGCGCGAAAGCGUGGGGAGCAAACGGGAUUAGAUACCCCUGUAGUC
This 443-nucleotide ribosomal RNA is filed under the name uncultured bacterium. RNAcentral describes it as "partial 16S ribosomal RNA". It matches the Rfam family "Bacterial small subunit ribosomal RNA", at positions 338 to 795 of the family's 1533-position model. The record is from RNAcentral.